ACUGUGUUUAAGAGGCGAUAAAAAGGUGAAUUAUCCAUUUUUAUUUAUUUUUUUGAAUAUUUAAUUUUUUUGCGGCUACUUAAGGUCAAGUGGGGAGGCGUGCGAGGCAGGAAGCUACUUCCGGGUUUGAGUAAACAUUGACGCAAUGUGGCCCCCCCUCUUGGCACCUGGUCUUCUUCUCUUGGUGCUAUGGAGGGGCGUCGGAGGGGAAGACAAGAGGCCCAACUUUGUCCUCAUCAUGGUGGAUGACAUGGGAAUUGGGGAUGUGGGUUGCUACGGUAACGACACCAUCAGGACCCCCAACAUAGACCGGCUGGCCUCGGAGGGGGUGAAGCUGACUCAGCACAUUGCAGCCGCCCCUCUGUGCACGCCCAGCCGAGCCGCCUUCAUGACGGGACGCUAUGCUACCCGCUCAGGAAUGGCAGGAUCUGGCCGGUCCCAGGUGCUGUUCUUCGUCGCAGGUUCAGGCGGACUGCCACCCAGUGAGACCACCUUUGCUAAGAGGCUCCAGCAACAAGGGUACACCACGGCUUUAGUUGGUAAAUGGCACUUAGGUGUCAACUGUGAGCACAGAAGAGAUCACUGUCACCACCCUAACCAACACGGCUUCAGCUACUUCUACGGCAUGCCUUACACCCUGAUCAACGACUGUGUUCCGGGCAUGGGAAGGGAGAUAUUCGCUGACCUUCAGCAGACACUCAAAAGUCUGUUCCUGUUUCUGGCGAUUGGACUUUUCACACUGGUGUUUAUUCGUGCUUGCGGCCUUUUCGACAUCAGCCCACGGCUCUUGACGGCGCUCUUCACGUUCGGCGUCCUGGCGACUCUCGUGUGGUACGUGCCCUUUGAACUCCUGCCCCGAUGGAACUGCAUCGUCAUGAGGAACCAGGAGGUGGUGGAGCAGCCGAUGAGGGUGGAGACGUUUCCCUUUAGGAUGCUGACAGAAGCCCAGCAGUUCGUGAAGAGGAACGCUCAUCACCCGUUCCUUCUGUUUUUCUCACUGGCUCAUAUGCACUCUCCGCUCUUCAACACGCCUGCAUUUGCUGGCAAAAGCCGCCACGGUCGCUAUGGUGACAACAUGGAAGAGUUGGACUGGAUCGUUGGGGAACUAACAGAGACUGUGGAUUCACUGGGCCUGGCCAACGACACUCUGAUCUAUUUCACCUCAGACCACGGUGGAUACCUUGAGGAUUCCCAUCCUCUGAUUGGCCAGCGAGGAGGAUGGAACGGCGUCUAUCGAGGUGGAAAAGGAAUGGGGGGCUGGGAAGGCGGCAUCAGAGUUCCUGGUAUUUUCCGCUGGCCCAGCAGACUGGCAGCUGGAAGAGUGGUGGACGAGCCCACCAGCCUGAUGGAUCUGUACCCCACACUCAAGUAUCUCGCCCAGGACACCGGAUCAGACAGGCACUUGGACGGUCACAACCUUAUGCCGCUGUUGGAGGGGAAGGUCGGUCGGUCUGAGCACGAGUUCAUGUUCCACUACUGUGGCAGUUACCUGAACGCAGCACGCUGGCACCCUCCUGGCAGUGACUCCAUCUUCAAGGUGCACUUUUUCACCCCAAACUUUUCCCCCCCGGGAGCCGUCGGUUGCUACGACAUCUUCCUCUGCCAGUGUUUCGGAGACCACGUGACUCAUCGCGACCCGCCGUUGAUCUACGACCUCUUCCGCGACCCUUCGGAGUCGCGCCCGCUCACUCCCGAAACGGAGCCGCGCUACGCCGAGGUCCUCCGUCAGACCGCCAAGGCCGUGGAGAGGCACCGGCGCUCCGAACAGAACGCUCCGACCCAGAUGACCUGGGAGAAGAUCCUGUGGAGGCCCUGGCUUCAGUCCUGCUGUGGAACAUUCCCGUUCUGCGGCUGCAAAGAAGACACCAAGUUAGUGGGAAACAAAAUUUGACAAUUUAAACGAAUUUCAAUUUCAUUAGGACUAAACUAAACCGGCCGUAUUGGCAUGUGUUGCAAUAAUAUUUCAUCAUUGAUAUAUAAACUAUCAGACUGUGUGGUCGGUAGUAGUGGGUUUCAGUAGGCCUAUUAGAGGCCUACUGGAAUUAGAUGUUCUUAUUUAAACGGAGAUAGCAGGUCCAUUCUGUCAUACUUGAUCAUUUCGCGAUAUUGCUAUAUUUUUGCUUAAAGUAUUUAGUAAAGAACUUCGACGAUAAAGUUUGCAACUUUUGGUGCUGAUAAAAAAGCCUUGCCUGUACCGGAAGUAGCAGACGAUGUGCGCGUGACGUCACGGGUUGUGGAGCUCCUCACAUCCUCACAUUGUUUACAAUCAUGGCCACCAGCAGCGAGAGCGAUUCGGACCGAGGAAGCGAGGAUUUCCCCAUUAAUUCAAGCGAGGUUGCCAUCCAUCCAUUUUCUAAUGCUUAUUCCCUUUUUGGGGUGGCGGGGGGCGCUGGCACCUAUCUCAGCUACAAUCGGGCGGAAGGCGGGGUACACCCUGGACAAGUCGCCACCUCAUUGCAGGGCCAACACAGAUAGACAACAUUCACACUCACAUUUACACACUAGGGCCAAUUUAGUGUUGCCAAUCAACCUAUCCCCAGGUGCAUGUCUUUGGAAGUGGGAGGAAGCCGGAGUACCCGGAGGGAACCCACGCAUUCAUGGGGAGAACAUGCAAACUCCACACUGGAUUUGAACCCAGGACUGCAGGACCUUCGUAUUGUGAGGCAGACGCACUAACCCCUCUGCCACCGUGAAGCCCUCAAGCGAGGAUGAAAGAUUGUCAGAUGAGGAAAGUGAGAGUGAAGGACUACAAAAAAAAGGACAAUACAGUAGAAGCGAUUUAGAUGUUAUUAGACAAAUUUACUAGGAUAAUUCUUGAAAACCCCUUAUCUGUUUAUUGUUAUACUAGUGUUUUAGUGAGAUUAUAUGGUCGUGCCUGUACAACCUGAAGGUCGGCCCCGCAUCUUUCUUCAGCACCAGUCGACGGGUGGUGGCGAUGCCCAUAUCUGCCUUUUGCAAGAGACCCUCUUCAAAACACGAUCUAUCGAAAUGAUCGCUGCAUAAUACUCUGUACUUUGUGUGUGUGGUCCAAUCCAACAGUGUUCGCUUGACAACUCUGUUCCAUAGUAAAGCUACACCGUCAUCUUUCAGGAAUGUAAACAAUGAAACACCGGCUGUGUUUGUGUUGCUAAAGGCGGCCACAAUACACUGUUUCCCACCUACAGCUUUCUUCUUUGACGUCUCCAUUAUUCAUUGAACAAAUUGCAAAAGAGUCAGCAACACAGAUGUCCAUAAUACUGUGGAAUUAUGCGAUGAAAACAGACGAUUUAUAGAUGGGAUCGGUGCUGUAACAAAAUGUCCUCUACAAGCGUGACGUCACGCGCACGCGUCAUCAUACGUUUUAGCAUUGUACUUCCACGCAAAAUUAAAAAUUGCGAUCUAGUAAACUUAAAAAGGCCGUAUUGGCAUGUGUUGCAAUGUUAAGAUUUCAUAAUUUGUAUAUAAACUUUCAGACUUCGUGGUCGGUAGGAGUGGCUUUCAGUAGGCUUUUAGCAUGACUGCAAGAAAAUACAGCUCAGGAUAAAAAAAAAAGUUGUAAUUUACACUGUAAGCCACUAGAGGGCAGUAUCAGACUAUGUAUGGAUUAACUUGUUUGACCACCCUUUAAUUUUGAAGUAUUGUCUUUGGCCUUUUUUAUUUCAAUUCUUGUUAGUAAUUCAAGGAUAAUCCUUAGGUUUUUAAGUUAUAUUCAAUGUCUCAGGCAAAAGAUCCAAGUUUAACCACCGUGGUAUUCUUUUUGUUGUGUAUGCUUGGCGUUUGUCCACAAGCUGCAAAAGAGUGGCUUUAUGUACAUACAGUAUACACUUUAGAUAUGAUAUUCCUAAUUAAAUGUGUAUAAGUUGCAUUAAAAGUGUGCUUACAACAGCUUGUGCUGUUAUUGGUCAAUUUCAUUUAAUACUGAAUACAGAACAUUGUGAUUCAUGCAAUGUUUUUUGGACAAGCGGUAGAAAAUGGAUGAUGGUGACUAUUUUGCUUAGUGUGGUUCUGUCUGGUGAAAUAAAGUGUAUCUACUCACCCUUUGAGAACCUUUGACACUUAAUGCAGUGUUCCUCAACCACUGGUCCAGGGACAGGUGCUCCUUUGUGAUUGAUUGGUUCUUUAAUUAGUAGAUUGCACAGUUCAGUACAUAUUCCGUAGAAUUGACCGCUAAAUGAAUACGUUUUUCAACUUGUUUAAAUCGGGGUCCACGUUUAUCAAUUCAUCUCACUUUAUUGCAGAAUCCAACGUUCAAGUAGACCUACAAAUCUCACAUAGUACAUAAAAUAAAGAAUACAGUAUAAAAGGCAUUAUGUCACAUAAUAUUAAAAUUUGUCUUACCGAGUCGCAUUUUCUCCAACUUAACUUUUGCCUGUCCCACUAGACAUACAAUUGUGAUCAAAAUUAUUCAACCCCCACACAAUUUUGGUGUUUUAGCAAGUUGGACAUUUAUUCUGUAUUUUGUUUAUAGUCAUAUCAAAUAAAGAUGUGUCAAAUAGACAACUUCAAUUGUAACACUGUAUUUUACAAAAUACCAAAAAAGGACAUUUUUCUUAAUAUCUCAUUGACAAAAUGAUUCAACCCCUUAGUUCCAUGCAUCUUUAGUACUUAGUAGAACACCCUUUGGCAGUAAUGACAUCCUUCAAAGGUGAUACCUAAGCUUCUUGCAAGCAUCUACAAGUAUUUUAGCCCAUUCCUCUUGGGCAAAGGCCUCCAGUUCAUUCAUAUUCUUGGACUUGCGUGCUGCAACUGCCUUCUUCAAGUCCCACCACAGCUUUUCUAGAGGAUUUAGGUCUGGGGACUGUGAAGGCCACUCCAGAGUCUUCCAGCCCUUCUUCUGCAACCACUCUGAUGUUGACUUGGAGGUAUGUUUGGGAUCGUUGUCCUGUUAGAAGGUCCAACGUCUCCCAAGCCUCAGCUUCGUCACUGACUUCAUGACAUUUGCAGCUAAUAUAUCCUGCUAGGAAAUAGAAUUCAUAAAGCUGGAGAUUCCCGGUACCUGAGGCAGAGAAACAGCCCCAGAGCAUGAUUGACCCCCCACCAUGCUUAACAGUAGGCAAGGUGUUCUUCUCUUUGUAAGCUUCAUUUUUUUCUCCUCCAGACAACAUUGAUUCAUAGGCCCAAAGAGUUCCACUUUUGGCUCAUCACUCCAUAGAAUCAAUCAAUCAAUCAAUCAAUGUUUAUUUAUAUAGCCCCAAAUCACAAAUGUCUCAAAGGACUGCACAAAUCAUUACGACUACAACAUCCUCGGAAGAACCCACAAAAGGGCAAGGAAAACUCACACCCAGUGGGCAGGGAGAAUUCACAUCCAGUGGGACGCCAGUGACAAUGCUGACUAUGAGAAACCUUGGAGAGGACCUCAGAUGUGGGCAACCCCCCCCCUCUAGGGGACCGAAAGCAAUGGAUGUCGAGCGGGUCUAACAUGAUACUGUGAAAGUUCAAUCCAUAGUGGCUCCAAGACAGCAGUGAGAGUCCCGUCCACAGGAAACCAUCUCAAGCGGAUCAGCAGCGUAGAGAUGUCCCCAACCGAUACAGGCGAGCGGUCCAUCCUGGGUCCCGACGAACGGUCCAUCCUGGGUCUCGACUCUGGACAGUCAGUACUUCAUCCAUGGUCAUCGGACCGGACCCCCUCCACAAGGGAGGGGGGGACAUAGGAGAAAGAAAAGAAGCGGCAGAUCAACUGGUCUAAAAAGGAGGUCUAUUUAAAGGCUAGAGUAUACAGAUGAGUUUUAAGAUGAGACUUAAAUGCUUGAAAAGUUAACAAAACCUUUGAGGUUGGUCCAGAUGAUUUUUGGCAUACUGGAGUCUAUUUUUCUUGUGCCUGGUAGUCAGAAUUGGGGUGCGCCUGGGAGUUCUGGCAUGUAGGCCUUCAUCUCGUAGUGCACGCCUUAUUGUCUGGGACAAAACCUGCGUUCCGCCCUCUGCAAUGUCCGGUUGUAGUUCCUCAGCUUUUACCCGGGGGUUUUUCACCACUGUACACUUCAAAUACCGGACAGCAGUUGCACACAGCAUCCUCUUUCUACCACGCCCAGGUAGUGUUUCCACUGUGCCUUUAGCCUUAAACUUGAGAAUUAUGCUCCCAACUGUGUCUCUUGGAAUGUAUAAUGUAUUUGCUAUUUUCUUAUAUCCAUAUCCUUUCUUAUGAAGAGAAAUGACCUCCUCUUGACUUCUUUGACCACUCCCUGGACUUCACCAUGUUGCAAAUACGCCAUUGAAGAAGCUGAGCGUCACAGUCUUUUUCAAUCAGUUUAAUUAUUGCUCGUUAUGGUUCUAAUCACAUCUACAGGUGUUUUCAACACCUGAUUGAAAAUACCUCAUUCAAAUUCUGUUCUUUAGAGUUAUGAUCUUCAAGGGGUUGAAUAAUUAUGUCAAUGAGAAAUUAAGAGAAAUGACACUGUUUGGUAUGCUACAAAAUAUAAUGUUGUAAUUCAAGUUGCAUUUGUCUAUUUAUCCAUCCAUCCAUUUUCUACCGCUUAUUCCCUUUUGGGGUCACGGGGGGCGCUGGCGCCUAUCUCAGCUACAAUCGGGCGGAAGGCGGGGUACACCCUGGACAAGUCGCCACCUCAUCGCAGGGCCAACACAGAUAGACAGACAACAUUCACACACUAGGGCCCAUUUAGUGUUGCCAAUCAACCUAUCCCCAGGUGCAUGUCUUUGGAAGUGGGAGGAAGCCGGAGUACCCGGAGAAUGCAUCUUUAUUUGAUAUGACUAGAAACAAAAUACGGAAUAAAUGUCCAACUUGCUAAAACACCAAAAUUGUGUGGGGGUUGAAUAAUUUUGAUCACAACUGUAGUAAUAAAAAACCGAGUGUGAAGCGACCGGAAUGAGAAUCAGCACCUCCAAGUCCGAGUCCAUGGUUCUCGCCCGGAAAAGGGUGGAGUGCCAUCUCCGGGUUGGGGAGGAGACCCUGCCCCAAGUGGAGGAGUUUAAGUACCUAGGAGUCUUGUUCACGAGUGGGGGAAGAGUGGAUCGUGAGAUCGACAGGCGGAUCGGUGCGGCGUCUUCAGUAAUGCGGACGUUGUAUCGAUCCGUUGUGGUGAAGAAGGAGCUGAGCCGGAAGGCAAAGCUCUCAAUUUACCGGUCGAUCUACGUUCCCAUCCUCACCUAUGGUCAUGAGCUUUGGGUCAUGACCGAAAGGAUAAGAUCACGGGUACAAGCGGCCCAAAUGAGUUAACAGGUCUCUCCCUUAGAGAUAGGGUGAGAAGCUCUGCCAUCCGGGAGGAACUCAAAGUAAAGCCGCUGCUCCUCCACAUCGAGAGGAGCCAGAUGAGGUGGUUCGGGCAUCUGGUCAGGAUGCCACCCGAACGCCUCCCUAGGGAGGUGUUUAGGGCACGUCCAGCUGGUAGGAGGCCACGGGGAAGACCCAGGACACGUUGGGAAGACUAUGUCUCCCGGCUGGCCUGGGAAAGCCUCGGGAUCCCCCGGGAAGAGCUAGACGAAGUGGCUGGGGAGAGGGAAGUCUGGGUUUCCCUGCUUAGGCUGCUGACCCCGCGACCCGACCUCGGAUAAGCGGAAGAUAAUGGAUGGAUGGAUGGAUAGUAAUAAGCUUCUUUAUAGAUGUAUAAUACAACUCCUGAUAGGAAAUAACCAUUUGUUAUAUCUUCAUUAAAGGGGAGAAUGCACAUUAAUGAACAUAUAAGAUGGAAAUGUGCCAGUUUGUGGCCAAAGGCUCAUUUUUAUCUGCAGAAUGGACCUGGAUAUAUACGACAAGUCCAUAAAAAGUUAACUUUGACACAAACGUUACAAUAAAAUGCACAGACUCGGUCGGAUAUAACAAUAAAAACUAAAAUAGAGAAGCAUAUAAAACAGCAGGUUGCUGCUUGACCUCAGCUCAGGACAGAUCAAGAAAUAAAGUCAUCAUUGUGUUGAAAGUGCUGAAAGAAAAUAAUAAUACACAUCUCCGUUGGCCUAGUAGGUAAAAGUGCACGCACUAUUGAAUUAACAGAUGUGUUUCAUGUAUGCAUGAAAAUGCACCAAAAAGCAUACAAAAGGGCUUCUAUGUAUAAAAUAUUGCAAAAAAAUAUGAAUGCAUAACUUUUGGACUGGAAAUCUAUUUUCUAGUUUUAUUAUCGAGAAACGUGGUUUCCCACACCCGUAGAAACACCCCUCCGACUUUCAGGUACCACCAUAUAUCCAUCCAUUUUCUACCGCUUAUUCCCUUUUGGGGGCGCUGGCGCCUAUCUCAGCUACAGUCGGGCGGAAGGCGGGGUACACCCUGGACAAGUCGCCACCUCAUCGCAGGGCCAACACAGAUAGACAGACAACAUUCACACUCACAUUCACACACUAAUUUUAGUGUUGCCAAUCAACCUAUCCCCAGGUGCAUGUCUUUGGAGGUGGGAGGAAACCGGAGUACCCGGAGGGAACCCACGCAUUCACGGGGAGAACAUGCAAACUCCACACAGAAAGAUCCCGAGCCUGGAUUUGAACCCAGGACUGCAGGACCUUCGUAUUGUGAGGCAGACGCACUAACCCCUCUGCCACCGUGAAGCCCUACCACCAUAUAUUCUCACUAAAACACUAGUAACACAAUAAGCAGAUAAGGUGUUUUCCAGAAUUAUCCUAGUAAAUGUGUCUAAUAACAUCUGAAUCGCUCCCACUGCCCUCGUCUUUUUUUUUCUUUCUAGUCCUUCACGGUCACUUUCCUCAUCCACGAAUCUUUCAUCCUCGCUCAAAUUAAUGGGGAAAUCGUCGCUUUCUCGGUCCGAAACGCUCUUGCUGCUGGUGGCCAUGAUUGUAAAUAAUGUGAGGAGCUCCACAACCGGUGACGUCACGCGCACAUCGUCUGCUACUUCCGGUACAGGCAAGGUUUUUUUUUAUUAGCGACCAAAAGUUGCGAACUUUAUCGUCGAUGUUCUCUACUAAAUCCUUUCAUCAAAAAUAAGGCAAUAUCGCAAAAUGUUCACGUAGGAGACAUAGAAUGGACCUGUUAUCCCCGUUUAAAUAAGAAAAUCUAAUUUCAGUAGGCCUUUUAAAAAGGGUUGGCUGAACAGCUAUUAAGGUACGGCGCAAUCGGCGCCCAUGUUAACUACCGAACCAUAACUUAAAAGGGUUGGCUGAACGACUAUAAGGACUAAAAGGCAGACUGCUUUUCCACUUAUUACAGAUAAUUCAUUAAGGAUUCAGCUUUUUGUAGUUUUACAUUUAAUCAUGUGGUGUUUUCUGCCGAGGCAUUCCCUGAUGUCUUCAAAAAUUUCUCAAACCAAUUAGUUUGAAUGAUCAAAAAAGUCAUGAAAUUUCAAAGUCCAAGGCUUUUGUUUUUAUUCAAAUUUGUCAGUUUUCUUUACUGGCAGAGACUUAUUGGAUAGCCAAUCAAAAUUGCCCGUCAAUGGUAAAUCUUGUAUGUAAUAUCACUUCUUAGCAGCACUUUGCUUCUAACUGUUGCUUUGACAUGUUUAUUAUCUGGGAGACUGACACAGGCAUUUAGGAUCCAUACACCAUCCUGAAUCACGGAAACAACUAAAAUGUUUUUUUCUCACACACACACACACACACACACCACGUACAUGUGAGAGACAACAAUUUUAGUAGUAUGUGUGCAAGGAUUUCAGUAAUGUGAGAGCAUUUUAGUAGUGUGUGAGAGCUUUUCAGUGGUGUGUGUGAGAGCUUUUCAGUAGUGCGGUGGUUCUCAAAUGGGGGUACGCGUACCCCUGGGGUUACUUGAAAGUAUGCCAAGGGGUACGUGAGAUUUUCAAAAAUAUUAAAUUAGUAAAAUAACACAAGUUGUGCGAGUUUAUAUUAAUUCAUCAAAAUGCCUUCAAAGAGUUGAAGUAUUUUUGUUUAGGGCUGUAUUUAAUUAGGAAAUGUGAGCAAAGAAAAUAUGAAUCCAAAAUGUUUUUAUGUUUAAGAACUCUGGAUUUUUUGAAAGUGUCAAAAAGUUGGGCUUUUUUUCAAAGUGUCAAAGUGGGGAUUUUUUGGUCCAAAAAAUGCCAAGGGCUACGUGAGAUUUUUCUAAAAUAUUCUAAAAAAUAGCAACAAUUCAAAAAUCCUUAAAUAUAUUUAUUGAAAAAUACUUCCAGAAAAUAUGGAUGUAAGUUCAUAAAAUGUGAAAAGAAAUGCAACAAUACAAUUUUCAGUGUUGACAGCUCGAUUUUUUUGUGGACAAGUUCCAUAAAUAUUGAUGUUAAAGAUUUAUUUUCUUGUGAAGAAAUGUUUAGUUGAUGAAUCCAGAUGGAUCUAUUACAAUCUCCAAAGAGGGCACUUUAAGUUGAUGAUUACUUCUAUGUGUAGAAAUCUUUAUUUAUAAUUGAAUCCCUUGUUUAUCUUUCAUCAAGUUUUUUGUUAUUUUUAUAUCUUUAUUUUUUUUUUCAAAUACUUCAAGAAAGACCACUACAAAUUAGCAAUAUUUUGCACUGUUAUACAAUUUAAUACAUCAAACGGAUGACAUAGUGCUAUUUUAUUUCGUUAUCCCUUUUAUUCAACCAAAAGUGCUUUGCUCCAAUUAGGGGGUACUUGAAUUAAAAAAAUGUUCACAGGGAAAUCACUGAAAAAGGUUGAGAACCACUGCAAUAGUAUGUGAGAGCUUUUCAGUAGUUUAUGUGAGAGCUUUUCAGUAGUGUAUGUGAGAGCUUUUCAGUAGUGUAUGUGAGUGCAUUUCAGUAGUGUAUGUGAGAGCUUUUCAGUAGUGUAUGUGAGUGCAUUUCAGUAGUGUGUAUAAGAGGUGUUUCAGUUGUGUGUGUGUGUGAGAGAGAGAAAAACAUUUCAGUUUUUAUGUGAGAGCAUUUCAGUAGUGUAUGGAAGAGGUCAUUCUAAAUGUCCCUAUUUGGCCCCCCAUACUAUCUGAGCCCUUUGUCUUCAUAAUAAAGUUACUCUGAGAAACA
Molecule: RNA transcript, 10796 nt
Organism: Nerophis ophidion (straightnose pipefish)
Lineage: Eukaryota; Metazoa; Chordata; Actinopteri; Syngnathiformes; Syngnathidae
Gene: arsh
Gene name: arylsulfatase H
Exons: 12
Source: RefSeq, a predicted model, not a curated record